CAGCAGCCGCGGGAAUACAGAGGGCGCGAGCGUUAAUCGGAUUUACUGGGCGUAAAGCGUGCGUAGGCGGCUUCUUAAGUCGGAUGUGAAAUCCCUGAGCUUAACUUAGGAAUUGCAUUCGAUACUGGGAAGCUAGAGUAUGGGAGAGGAUGGUAGAAUUCCAGGUGUAGCGGUGAAAUGCGUAGAGAUCUGGAGGAAUACCGAUGGCGAAGGCAGCCAUCUGGCCUAAUACUGACGCUGAGGUACGAAAGCAUGGGGAGCAAACAGGAUUAGAUACCCCCGUAGUCCCUGUCUCUUAUAA
RNAcentral lists this ribosomal RNA (301 nucleotides) under uncultured bacterium. Its description in RNAcentral is "partial 16S ribosomal RNA". It matches the Rfam family "Bacterial small subunit ribosomal RNA", at positions 509 to 809 of the family's 1533-position model. The record is from RNAcentral.